GGGUCAAUAAGUGCAUUUUCAAAGGGGCCACUUUGUCUGGACUCUAUUUCAAAUUGUAUUCAUCCGAUCUUCACCAAACUUGGUCAGCAGUUGCAUCUAGUUGAUAUAUAGGCCAAGUUCGAAUAUGGGUCAUGCCGGGUCAAAAACUAGGUCAUAGGGUCAAUUAGUCCAUUUUCAACAGCGCCACUUUGUCCGGACUCUUAUUCAAAUUGUAUUCAUCCGAUCUUUACCAAACUUGGUCAGUAGUUGCAUCUAGUUGAUAUCUAGGUCAAGUUCGAAUAUGGGUCAUGUCGGGUCAAGAACUAGGUCAUAGGGUCAAUUAGUGCAUUUUCAACAGCGCCACUUUGUCCGGACUCUAAUUCAAAUUGUAUUCAUCCGAAACUUUUAAACAACUUUUUAUCCUGCGUCAAAGUGGUAUGGGGGUAUAAGUCACAUUCAGUGACAAAGCUCUAGUUCAAGUUGAAUUCACCAAACUUGGUCAGAGGUAGUAUAUAGAUUAUAUAUCAGUCAGGUCUGAUUGGAGACAUGCAACCGAUUAACACAUGCAAUAUUUUUAUGCAAUAUUUUUAUCCAGUUUUAUUUUGCGAUAUUUUCAUCGGGUUUAUUUUUUUCGCGAUUUUUGAAACGAGUUAUUUUUAACAACAUGUUUAUUGGUAAGUUUCAUU
Dreissena polymorpha is the source of this 665-nucleotide long non-coding RNA. RefSeq lists it as uncharacterized. The transcript has 2 exons. The record is from RefSeq and is a predicted model, not a curated record. Lineage: Eukaryota; Metazoa; Mollusca; Bivalvia; Myida; Dreissenidae.